RNAcentral lists this ribosomal RNA (253 nucleotides) under uncultured bacterium. RNAcentral describes it as "partial 16S ribosomal RNA". It matches the Rfam family "Bacterial small subunit ribosomal RNA", at positions 524 to 776 of the family's 1533-position model. The record is from RNAcentral.
UACGAAGGGGGCUAGCGUUGCUCGGAAUCACUGGGCGUAAAGCGCACGUAGGCGGACUCUUAAGUCGGUGGUGAAAUCCUGGAGCUCAACUCCAGAACUGCCUUUGAUACUGGAGAGCUUGAGUCCGGGAGAGGUGAGUGGAACUCCGAGUGUAGAGGUGAAAUUCGUAGAUAUUCGGAAGAACACCAGUGGCGAAGGCGGCUCACUGGCCCGGUACUGACGCUGAUGUGCGAAAGCGUGGGGAGCAAACAGG